CAUAUACUCCCUCCGUCUGAAAAAACUUGUCCCUCAAAUAGAUGUAUCUAGCAUCAAGUUAGUGCUAGAUACAUCCAGUUGAGAGAUAAGCUUAGGACAAGCUUUUUCGGACGGGGGAGUACUUG
This is a non-coding RNA of Triticum aestivum (bread wheat), 125 nucleotides long. The record is from Rfam. Lineage: Eukaryota; Viridiplantae; Streptophyta; Magnoliopsida; Poales; Poaceae.